UCGGGUGUAGUGCACGGCGCAUGGCAGCAGUUAUUAAUUCGGAAGCCAUUUGAACCUUUCAGCUGCAGUCUGGGGUUCGACUCCCCGCGCCCGAA
Molecule: non-coding RNA, 95 nt
Organism: Mycena galericulata
Lineage: Eukaryota; Fungi; Basidiomycota; Agaricomycetes; Agaricales; Mycenaceae
Source: the annotation of a GenBank genome assembly